AGUGAACGCUGGCGGUAGGCCUAACACAUGCAAGUCGAACGGCAGCACAGUAAGAGCUUGCUCUUACGGGUGGCGAGUGGCGGACGGGUGAGGAAUACAUCGGAAUCUACUUUUUCGUGGGGGAUAACGUAGGGAAACUUACGCUAAUACCGCAUACGACCUACGGGUGAAAGCAGGGGAUCUUCGGACCUUGCGCGAUUGAAUGAGCCGAUGUCGGAUUAGCUAGUUGGCGGGGUAAAGGCCCACCAAGGCGACGAUCCGUAGCUGGUCUGAGAGGAUGAUCAGCCACACUGGAACUGAGACACGGUCCAGACUCCUACGGGAGGCAGCAGUGGGGAAUAUUGGACAAUGGGCGCAAGCCUGAUCCAGCCAUACCGCGUGGGUGAAGAAGGCCUUCGGGUUGUAAAGCCCUUUUGUUGGGAAAGAAACGCAGCAGGUUAAUACCCCGCUGUUCUGACGGUACCCAAAGAAUAAGCACCGGCUAACUUCGUG
This 492-nucleotide ribosomal RNA is filed under the name uncultured bacterium. RNAcentral describes it as "partial 16S ribosomal RNA". It matches the Rfam family "Bacterial small subunit ribosomal RNA", at positions 29 to 507 of the family's 1533-position model. The record is from RNAcentral.